ACACUUGUAUUCACCUCAAUCCACAUGUAUUGAGGUCGAUUAGAGUAUAACUUAAAUUAAUUUACACCCCAAUCCACAUCAGUCCAUGUGGAUUGAGGUGAAUACGAGA
Zea mays is the source of this 109-nucleotide non-coding RNA. Lineage: Eukaryota; Viridiplantae; Streptophyta; Magnoliopsida; Poales; Poaceae. The record is from Rfam.